RNAcentral lists this ribosomal RNA (253 nucleotides) under uncultured bacterium. RNAcentral describes it as "partial 16S ribosomal RNA". It matches the Rfam family "Bacterial small subunit ribosomal RNA", at positions 524 to 776 of the family's 1533-position model. The record is from RNAcentral.
UACGGGGGGUGCGAGCGUUGUCCGGAAUCACUGGGCGUAAAGGGCGCGUAGGUGGUUUGAUAAGGGUGUGGUGAAAGUCCGGGGCUCAACCCCGGAUCUGCCGUGCCGACUGUCAAACUCGAGGGCUGUAGAGGCAGACGGAAUUCCGGGUGUAGCGGUGGAAUGCGUAGAGAUCCGGAGGAACACCAGGGGCGAAGGCGGCCGACUGGCCGAGUGCUGACGCUGAGGCGCGACGGCGUGGGGAGCAAACCGG